UUUUUUUUUUUUUUUUUUUCACUUACAGAGUGUCCAAGUUCUCCCACGCUCGGUCUGUCAUUGACUAAGAGUAUACUUGAACUGACAGAGAUAACCAUUUUAGAGAUUGGUAAUGAUGAAGUCAAAAUCAAUGGAUAUCCAACUCUCACUUCUUUUUCAUAGGCUUGUGAUGUGACGGCAGGAUCGAAACAAGUGGUGCGCAAACAGGGACCUGAGUAUCAAGGGAUCUAGUGAAGGACACCGCAGAAAAGAAUGAGGCC
Molecule: long non-coding RNA, 260 nt
Filed under: Fukomys damarensis (Damara mole-rat)
Lineage: Eukaryota; Metazoa; Chordata; Mammalia; Rodentia; Bathyergidae
Description: lncRNA (ENSFDAG00000032722.1)
Source: RNAcentral